AUGAAUCUCCUAUUCUAGAACUGCCGAGGGGGUAGGAACCACCGGAUAGUUCGUGAGGUGUUGGCGCUUGCAAAAGUCAUUGUCUCCAAACUUGUUUUUCUCUGCGAGACAAGACAAGUUUCAGCUAAGAUUGAGAAGAUGAAGUUGGGGUUAGGUAUGAAGAGUUUCCAUGGUGUUGGUAGUGACGACAUAAGUGGUGGUUUGAUUUUGUUUUGGGAUGAAUCGUUGCAAGUGGAUGGUCUGGAACACCAUGCAUUCCAUUAA
Molecule: ribosomal RNA, 264 nt
Filed under: Triticum aestivum (bread wheat)
Lineage: Eukaryota; Viridiplantae; Streptophyta; Magnoliopsida; Poales; Poaceae
Description: partial small subunit ribosomal RNA
Source: RNAcentral